This 756-nucleotide ribosomal RNA is filed under the name uncultured bacterium. RNAcentral's name for it is "bacterial SSU rRNA". It matches the Rfam family "Bacterial small subunit ribosomal RNA", at positions 8 to 796 of the family's 1533-position model. The record is from RNAcentral.
AGAGUUUGAUCAUGGCUCAGAAUCAACGCUGGCGGCGUGCCUAACACAUGCAAGUCGCACGAGAAAGGGUAGCAAUACCUGAGUACAGUGGCGCACGGGUGAGUAACACGUGAAUCAUCUACCUUCGAGUGGGGAAUAACUGGGAGAAAUCUCAGCUAAUACCGCAUAAAACCUACGGGUCAAAGCAGCAAUGCGCUUGAAGAGGAGUUCGCGGCAGAUUAGUUAGUUGGCGGGGUAAUGGCCCACCAAGACGAUGAUCUGUAUCCGGCCUGAGAGGGCGCACGGACACACUGGAACUGAAACACGGUCCAGACUCCUACGGGAGGCAGCAGUGGGGAAUUUUGCGCAAUGGGGGAAACCCUGACGCAGCAACGCCGCGUGGAGGAUGAAAUCCCUUGGGAUGUAAACUCCUUUCGAUCGGGACGAUUAUGACGGUACCGGAAGAAGAAGCCCCGGCUAACUUCGUGCCAGCAGCCGCGGUAAUACGAGGGGGGCAAGCGUUGUUCGGAAUUAUUGGGCGUAAAGGGCGCGUAGGCGGUUUGACAAGUCUGAUGUGAAAUCUAUGGGCUCAACCCAUAGCCUGCAUUAGAAACUGUCGGGCUUGAGUAUGGGAGAGGUGAGUGGAAUUUCCGGUGUAGCGGUGAAAUGCGUAGAUAUCGGAAGGAACAUCUGUGGCGAAAGCGGCUCACUGGACCAUAACUGACGCUGAGGCGCGAAAGCUAGGGGAGCAAACAGGAUUAGAUACCCUAGUAGUCC